UUUAUUUUGAAACUGCCCCUGCCCUUCGAUCCGGUCUAUCUCCGUCCCUACUUGGCAGAGCCUGACUUCCAUUCCAUCUCGAUCUCGGCGAUGCCGCGCAUGGCGCGACGCACAGCAAUGACUUCGCGAAGUCGCGAAGCUGCACGCGUCUAGCGAGCGCGUGUAGCUCGCCCCCCCCUGGCGGAAGCCGCCACCACAGGCAUGGCAUCUGGCUGGCGGAGCAUUCGUCUGGCCGGCGUCAGACAUGACGCGGCCGAGAUCAAGCCGGAGACGGUUCGUGGCCUCUUCUCACCACCACAGCCGCAGCCUCCCAGUCGCCAGGAUACUAGGAUGCGCUCGUGAAGACUUUCCAUUACGUUGAAUCAAAGCUAUGUCCUCCUGUCCUCCUGGAUCCCAAGGAAAGAGCUGAACUGCGGACUUCACGUUGGAUGAAAGGUGAAGGAGGAACCAGCCCGUUCUUAUGUUGGGUAUGCAGCCCCCCUCGGCAGAGAGGUAUAACCUCGCCGGAGAAGACAACUAUCCCCAUGGACCGAAGGUCCAUGACAUUGAUGUACUAUAUCUACUACUGGCGUCUCAAGUAAAGCUUCACUAACUGCAUGUGAAGUAUGUGUUGUAAGUUGUAACAAAGCUCUGCUUAAUCCGCGUGUCACAAUGAACCUUGGGAAAUUUGGGCUACUAUUAGGGCUAGUUUGGGAACACCAUUUUCCCAAUGGAUUCCUAUUUUGCCCAAGGGAAAAUAAAUUAAUUUUCCUGGGAAAACAAAAAUCUCUUGGGAAAAUGUGGUUUCCAAAUCAGCCCUUAGAAUGGUGAAAUGCAUUGGGAAGCUUCCUAUGCCAUUCGUGCUCAACAUGAAAGGUCACUAGAUAACACUAGUAACUAAUAAUUGAUGGUAGAAGAUAGUAUUGUUGCAUUGCUUUUUUAUCUGGUUGUUUUGCAACGGACUAAUACUUGAUUUGGUGCAUCCUGAUUCUUUCAAAAAUAUCAUAUUUCUAUAUUUGAUUUUAUAUUUCAAUUCUCGCAUCACGUGUUUCCUGCAUGUCCCAUGUCAAUUAUAUUAGACAGGCUUUGUGUUGUGGAUGGGCUUAGGCCACGACACAUAGGCCUGUUAGUGGCCAAUAAUUCAGGCCCCUGAUUGUGUUGAGAUGGGCUUGGAUGACCAGGAUUGAUUCUACUUCUAUAAAUCCUAAUCCUUGGCACUCCUCGGGGGUCAAGCAGUUAACCUGCAAUUGCAAACUUGAGUCAUCAUCCAUGGUGCUGUGAGCUAGCGAGCCACUAACCUGUAAUGACUGAGCUGAGUUAUCUUCUGCAGCACUAUUCUGGCUGCCCGAUCCACCCCCGGAUCAGGCGCUUGGUGUCCGAGGCGGAUUGCUCCAACUGAUUCUGCGCGGCGGAUUGCUACAAAAUUGGGAAGAGUUGAGGGAGCCGUUGGAGCAUGGAAAAAACACGAAUUCUUCCUAACAUCACUUUUUCGAGUAUUUCUAGCAGCGUCGUUGGAGUUGCUCUUAGGGGCUGUUUGGUUGGACCGAACAAUAUGGGCUCGCCUCGCUCAGCAAGAAACAGAACAAGAACAGGAUAGACGGGAAAGACUGUCAAGGCACAGAUCCGGGACACGGCUAGCCAGGAAAGGUACCGCGGGAACAUCGCUGUUAUGAUGGUCAGUAACAAGUCGGACCUGAACGGCUGAACCACCUUAGGUCGGAUAAACGUCGAGAAGGCGUUCCACAGCACACCAUCUUGAGCGAGAAUGGCUCGCGUGCUGUUCUAGCUGCGAAGACCUGCUCCCGAUCCCAACGGAACAAAUGCAGGUUUCGGAAGGGUUCCCUUCUGCGAAGACCUGUUCUAGCUGCGAAGAUCGCUUUGCAUUAUCUGCCUGACUUCGAAAGCCAGUAAUUGACCGGUGGUUCGAUUCUUUGUCACAAGGAACUUCUUCCUCUAGCAUCGUAUCAUAUACCACACGUACACUGUCAAACCAAGCGAAGCGUGUUCCUGUUGCAUUUGUUGUCUAAUUAACCUGUACCUGUAUACUUGGACGGACCGAAGAACAUUCUGCGUGUACUUA
Zea mays is the source of this 2059-nucleotide long non-coding RNA. RefSeq lists it as uncharacterized. The record is from RefSeq and is a predicted model, not a curated record. The transcript has 3 exons. NCBI's taxonomy places the organism in Eukaryota, Viridiplantae, Streptophyta, Magnoliopsida, Poales, Poaceae.